UUCGAAAAUUUUAUGGAACUAAGCUUUUCUGUGUUACCAUUCCCAUGCUUCUCAAACUCUAUGGGAUGAACACUUUGACACGAAGUCCCUGGCUCCUUUUCCUGUUCUUGAAAGAAACCCAUUUUAACAUCAUAUUCGGAGCGUGAUGAGAAGGUGGCUUUCUUCGUUUUGUAUUGAAUUGGAUUCUACCUUCUGAAGUUCGGUGAUCUAGCCCAGUUUUUCUUCUGCUUGACACAGUUGGCCUCAUAAAUCUCGGUAUCCCUGAUGAGGGAGCUGUUGCAGCUGCUCCAAUAUUGUUUAUGGUAACUUUAUGGUUCAGCUGUGCCUCUUCCAUCAAUAAAUAAGAAGCCUGCAGUUCUUCAGAAGAUAAAAUUCACCAUUGCAACCUGCUUCUCCUCUCGUACUUCCUGAUGAUCAAUAGUUCACCAAGAUUGUUAUUACUAAAAGAAUGCAGACAUCGAUUUCUAAUUAGGAUGAAGCUUUUCACAUCAGUUGAUAUGAUAAUGUCCUCAGACAGAAAUUCUAGCAAGCAAACUGACAAGGAGCAUCAAAGCAAGUGAUUGAUAAUCGAAUCAUGCUAAGAUGAGCAAUGACAAAAAGCAUAAACUUAGAAAAGUAUAUCUCAAGUUCGUUUAGCAGUUUCUGAAGCUAAUAUCCGUUAUAUUAUAUGACUAAAAAGAUACAGAAACAUGUAAACUGCAGACGUACCAUGGUGGCAUAGGAUCAGUUGGUUUAGUUGGCUGAGAAACAAGCAAGUCUUUCAGAUUUCCCAGGGUCUGGAUCGACACCAUGGUUAUACAAGAGACCUCUCUUCGAAUCUUCUGGCGUGGAUCUUUUGGAUGAUACUUCAGAUGAGAAGAAGUACCAGAAUUCUUGGUUGCAAAAUUUGGCUGAAGUCUAAACUCUUCAAGGCCCCUCCAUAGCUAAUAUGGGAUCUCUGAACAUAGGAAUCCCCUGAAGACCAAGACAUGGUCAACAAUACUGCUUCAAAGGUUUCAGAAAUUUUGAGGUCCAAAAAGGACUAUUGGGGGACCAAGGAGGUUUGGGAAGGCGCAGCUUCAAAGCUAGUCUUACAAGCAAUAGCAUGUAGGGAAAGACAGAUGAAACGGGAUCGGGGGAGCUGGUGUCUUUAUAAAGCUGAGGAGAGUGCGAUUCACUUGCAACGGUCUAAUUUUGUUUCAAUUCUAUAUUGUCAAAUUUAAUUCAACCCCAUUUUGGUAUUUAUAGCCGUUAGAGUCGAGAGCUCUAUAGGCCAAAGGGGAAAAAAGUUACGGUGGUUUUGUAUUCUGAAUC
This is a long non-coding RNA of Tripterygium wilfordii, 1293 nucleotides long. RefSeq lists it as uncharacterized. The record is from RefSeq and is a predicted model, not a curated record. Lineage: Eukaryota; Viridiplantae; Streptophyta; Magnoliopsida; Celastrales; Celastraceae. The transcript is spliced from 9 exons.